AUUGAACGCUGGCGGCAGGCCUAACACAUGCAAGUCGAGCGGAUGAAGGGAGCUUGCUCCUGGAUUCAGCGGCGGACGGGUGAGUAAUGCCUAGGAAUCUGCCUGGUAGUGGGGGAUAACGUCCGGAAACGGGCGCUAAUACCGCAUACGUCCUGAGGGAGAAAGUGGGGGAUCUUCGGACCUCACGCUAUCAGACGAGCCUAGGUCGGAUUAGCUAGUUGGUGGGGUAAAGGCCUACCAAGGCGACGAUCCGUAACUGGUCUGAGAGGAUGAUCAGUCACACUGGAACUGAGACACGGUCCAGACUCCUACGGGAGGCAGCAGUGGGGAAUAUUAGACAAUGGGCGAAAGCCUGAUCCAGCCAUGCCGCGUGUGUGAAGAAGGUCUUCGGAUUGUAAAGCACUUUAAGUUGGGAGGAAGGGCAGUAAGUUAAUACCUUGCUGUUUUGACGUUACCAACAGAAUAAGCACCGGCUAACUUCGUG
This 484-nucleotide ribosomal RNA is filed under the name uncultured bacterium. RNAcentral's name for it is "partial 16S ribosomal RNA". It matches the Rfam family "Bacterial small subunit ribosomal RNA", at positions 30 to 507 of the family's 1533-position model. The record is from RNAcentral.